This 283-nucleotide long non-coding RNA is filed under the name Lathyrus oleraceus (garden pea). RNAcentral describes it as "Pisum sativum (pea) long non-coding RNA (PSAT_LNC009690)". The record is from RNAcentral. Lineage: Eukaryota; Viridiplantae; Streptophyta; Magnoliopsida; Fabales; Fabaceae.
GACAAGUCUAUAAUUUUUAAAGAAAUAUUAGUUAAUUAGGAAAUCCCUCUAGAAGAUUUCAAGAAUUAGAAUGCAAAUCAACUCACUAACUUUUUGAAUAUCAAUAUUUACAUUUCAUCAUCAUUAUUUAAAAAAUAAAAACUUAAGAAAUUUGUAGGAAGAAAUAAAUAUAAAAACAAUAGAAUGAAGGAGAAAACGAAAAUAUCGAGUUUGAUGCAUAAUAGAAAUAAUAUUUAGUCAAUAUCAUUGAUUUCACAAACUCUGGAUUACUAGACCUAUUUUC